This 429-nucleotide ribosomal RNA is filed under the name Chloroflexota bacterium. Its description in RNAcentral is "Chloroflexi bacterium partial 16S ribosomal RNA". It matches the Rfam family "Bacterial small subunit ribosomal RNA", at positions 355 to 776 of the family's 1533-position model. Lineage: Bacteria; Bacillati; Chloroflexota. The record is from RNAcentral.
UAGGGAAUCUUCGGCAAUGGACGAAAGUCUGACCGAGCAACGCCGCGUGAGUGAAGAAGGUUUUCGGAUCGUAAAACUCUGUUGUUAGAGAAGAACAAGGACGUUAGUAACUGAACGUCCCCUGACGGUAUCUAACCAGAAAGCCACGGCUAACUACGUGCCAGCAGCCGCGGUAAUACGUAGGUGGCAAGCGUUGUCCGGAUUUAUUGGGCGUAAAGCGAGCGCAGGCGGUUUCUUAAGUCUGAUGUGAAAUCCCCGGGCUCAACCUGGGAACUGCAUUCGAAACUGGCAGGCUAGAGUCUUGUAGAGGGGGGUAGAAUUCCAGGUGUAGCGGUGAAAUGCGUAGAGAUCUGGAGGAAUACCGGUGGCGAAGGCGGCCCCCUGGACAAAGACUGACGCUCAGGUGCGAAAGCGUGGGGAGCAAACAGG